CCUACGGGGGGCAGCAGUAGGGAAUUUUCGUCAAUGGGCGCAAGCCUGAACGAGCAAUGCCGCGUGAACGAGGAAGGUCUUCGGAUCGUAAAGUUCUGUUGAAGGGGCAAAAGAGCGGAGAGAGGAAAUGGUCUCCGAUUGAUAUUACCCUUCGAGGAAGUCACGGCUAACUACGUGCCAGCAGCCGCGGUAAUACGUAGGUGGCGAGCGUUAUCCGGAAUGAUUGGGCGUAAAGGGUGCGUAGGCGGCCUGCUAAGUCUGGAGUGAAAGGUACCGGCUCAACCGGUACAGGCUCUGGAAACUGGCGGGCUAGAGAGCAGGAGAGGGCGGUGGAACUCCAUGUGUAGCGGUAAAAUGCGUAGAUAUAUGGAAGAACACCAGUGGCGAAGGCGGCCGCCUGGCCUGUUACUGACGCUGAGGCACGAAAGCGUGGGGAGCAAAUAGGAUGAGUUACCCGAGUAGUC
This 464-nucleotide ribosomal RNA is filed under the name uncultured bacterium. RNAcentral describes it as "partial 16S ribosomal RNA". It matches the Rfam family "Bacterial small subunit ribosomal RNA", at positions 338 to 795 of the family's 1533-position model. The record is from RNAcentral.